UAAAUCUUAGUUUAAUUAGAAUGGUCGAUUGUUACUCGAUAGGUGGGCUUAGUUGCUCAGGUUUAG
Molecule: transfer RNA, 66 nt
Filed under: Mactra sp. WB-F
Lineage: Eukaryota; Metazoa; Mollusca; Bivalvia; Venerida; Mactridae
Also listed under: 1 other name
Description: tRNA-Asn
Source: RNAcentral